RNAcentral lists this ribosomal RNA (376 nucleotides) under uncultured bacterium. RNAcentral describes it as "bacterial SSU rRNA". It matches the Rfam family "Bacterial small subunit ribosomal RNA", at positions 524 to 898 of the family's 1533-position model. The record is from RNAcentral.
UACGUAGGGGGCGAGCGUUGUCCGGAAUGACUGGGCGUAAAGGGCGCGUAGGUGGCCUUGCAAGUCUGGAGUGAAAGUCCCGUUUUUAAGGUGGGAAUGGCUUUGGAAACUGUGAGGCUUGAGUGUGGGAGAGGAUAGCGGAAUUCCCGGUGUAGCGGUGAAAUGCGUAGAGAUCGGGAGGAACACCAGUGGCGAAGGCGGCUAUCUGGACCAAGACUGACACUGAAGCGCGAAAGCGUGGGUAGCAAACAGGAUUAGAUACCCUGGUAGUCCACGCGGUAAACGAUGGAUGCUAGGUGUAGGAGGUAUCGACCCCUUCUGUGCCGGAGUCAACACAAUAAGCAUCCCGCCUGGGGAGUACGGCCGCAAGGUUGAA